Molecule: long non-coding RNA, 1853 nt
Organism: Cygnus olor (mute swan)
Lineage: Eukaryota; Metazoa; Chordata; Aves; Anseriformes; Anatidae
Exons: 3
Source: RefSeq, a predicted model, not a curated record
CUUCCUGCUCCCCAGGCAGUGGUGUCUCUGUGAAGGAUUGGAAGCAACAGUGGGUAGUCUGAGCUUGUCCUUGACAGGGCAGUCUGUAAUGCAGCCCUUGGAGGUACAAACACCAGUAGCUCCAGCAGCGAUGGCGUGAGGAUAUUGUCUGUGUGCCCGGCACUGGAGAGAGCAUUAAUGGGAAACUGCGUCCACUUCUCUCACCCACCAUUCAAAAAGGAUAUUGGCAAGCUGAAACAGGUUCAGAGAAGAGCUAUGAGGACAAUUAGAAAGCUGGAAAAUAAUUAUUAUGGGCAGAAAAUCCUGAAUCUAGGAGCUAGUAUCUGUCUCAUCAAAUGAAAGCUAAAGGCCACACUUAAAUGAGAAUUAAGAUGGGGGAGUGCUGCCCAGGAGUCAUCCCUGCUGGCCUCAGGAGCUAUGCAUCUCAGAAAACUACCAGCAGUAUCUCAAACAAUAUGUGUCCUCAUUCAUGAGAGAGUAAGGGAAACUGCAGAUGAUCUGAAUGUAUAAGAAGCUGCCAUGGAGGCAAUAGAAAAGAAGAGACAAAAAGGCUGUAGAGGAUACAACAUGCACAUAGAAUAACUGUGAGAUUUGCAGAGAAAAUACGUAAAUUACCUCAUUGAGGCAGAGGGAAAGAUGGAAAUAAUCCAAAGGAAGGGAGAACUCUACAGAGCAGUUAGGCUGCAAGGUAAGUGACAUGAGCCUGUGGUGUGAUAUAGAGGUUUUAAUACUUGGCAAUAGCUCGGGAUUUCAGGUGUAGAAACACAAGCUGAGGGGCUAGGCUCUACCUCUAGGAGGUCUGCUGCACAUUCCCAGGCACAGCAUCUGCUUUUCUCUUCUGCUUUCCUGGGUACAGAGAUACUUCUAUCACGUCAUCAGCCCUGUGAGCUGAAAUAGCAGCAAUACAAGGCACACUUGGAGAGACUGAAAUGGGUCUCAUAGGGCUACUCUCACCCAGACGUGGGUCAAAAGACAUUUGGAUCAGAAUUUAGCUAGGGUAUUCUGGUAUUUCACUGGCUUUAUCUGAGCUGACCUUUGAAGUGAUUGUAUGAAAACUGAUGAGGAUUUGUCUGAGACAUGUUGCUAGAAGUUUGGGGCUGAAACUGGGGGAAAAUGAGCCCAGAAGUGACCUGCAAACCUGGGUGUUGCUUGGCUGCCAGACAGGGGAUUCCUCUAGAAAACUUCUAGUGAUAUUUGUACCAGCCUUGAUGAAGCACCAGUAAAAUGUGCAAUAAAGGAAAUCUUUCAGAUGCAGGGAGAUGGAUUGGAUGACCUACUAGGCUUAUUCCAUCUUUAACUUGUGAUGACUUUAUGAAAGCACUUUGUCAGCUCCUCACUAACUACUGUGUACUUAGCUCUGAUCAGUCCUGUCAGAUUGCCGUUUGGGAAGUUAGAUUUAGCUAUAAAUUCCUGUCUGAGUCUCUCUGAAAUCCAAAAAUAGAAUAGUUGAGAAUGUAUGAGCUGAGUUAUGGAUCAAAUGUGUCACUGCAGGAACCAAGGACAAAAUGUGUGACAUUAAACUGAUGUCAAAGAAAAAGCCUCUACUUGACUAUUUCUCUGCUCGUGGAGUACAUUUUUUCAAGCACAGAGCUCUGUCAAGACAUUAGCUAAUUAAUCCUGACAGGAUGUCAGUAGAUCAUUAUUUACACCUCCAUUUUCAGACAGAAGAAGCAAGUUUAGAGAAUUCUUCCAUGUUAAAACUGGAACGAGGAGCACGAACAUCUUGCCUGUUGCCCCAUGCUGAAGUCUCCAGUCCAUACUGCCACCUAAUGCCUGUCUAAUAUAUGUGAGGAAGUGCAGCAGGUGCUUUGUUAGGAAAAUGAAUGAAGUAGAUAUCUUCUAACUAUUUACAA